This 482-nucleotide ribosomal RNA is filed under the name uncultured bacterium. Its description in RNAcentral is "bacterial SSU rRNA". It matches the Rfam family "Bacterial small subunit ribosomal RNA", at positions 29 to 524 of the family's 1533-position model. The record is from RNAcentral.
AACGAACGCUGGCGGCGUGCCUAACACAUGCAAGUCGUGCGAGAAAGUUCCUUCGGGAGCGAGUAAAGCGGCGCACGGGUGAGUAACACGUAGGUAAUGUACCGAAGGGUGGGGAAUAACUUAGGGAAACUUAAGCUAAUACCGCAUAAUGCAGCGGCUCGACAUCGAGACAGUUGUUAAAGGAGCAAUCCGCCUUUUGAGCAGCCUGCGGCAGAUUAGCUAGUUGGUAAGGUAAUGGCUUACCAAGGCUACGAUCUGUAACCGACCUGAGAGGGUGGUCGGUCACACUGACACUGAAUAACGGGUCAGACUCCUACGGGAGGCAGCAGUCGGGAAUUUUGGGGCAAUGGGCGAAAGCCUGACCCAGCAACGCCGCGUGAAGGAUGAAGUAUUUCGGUAUGUAAACUUCGUAAGAAUAGGAAGAACAAAUGACGGUACUAUUUGUAAGGUCCGGCUAACUACGUGCCAGCAGCCGCGGUAAU